UACAGAGGGUGCAAGCGUUAAUCGGAUUUACUGGGCGUAAAGGGCGCGUAGGCGGUAUGAUAAGUCAGUUGUGAAAGCCCAGGGCUUAACCUUGGAAUAGCAAUUGAAACUGUUGAACUAGAGUAGAGUAGAGGGGAGCGGAAUUUCCGGUGUAGCGGUGAAAUGCGUAGAUAUCGGAAGGAACAUCAGUGGCGAAGGCGGCUCUCUGGACUCAAACUGACGCUGAGGCGCGAAAGCGUGGGUAGCGAACAGG
Molecule: ribosomal RNA, 253 nt
Filed under: uncultured bacterium
Lineage: Bacteria
Description: partial 16S ribosomal RNA
Rfam family: Bacterial small subunit ribosomal RNA
Source: RNAcentral